CGCAAGGUAGCGCAGUUGGCAGCUCGUCGGGCUCAUAUCCCGGAGGUCGCAGGUUCGAGUCCUGUCCUUGCUA
This 73-nucleotide transfer RNA is filed under the name Spirochaetia bacterium. RNAcentral's name for it is "tRNA-Met". It matches the Rfam family "tRNA". From Rfam's summary of the family: Transfer RNA (tRNA) molecules are approximately 80 nucleotides in length. Their secondary structure includes four short double-helical elements and three loops (D, anti-codon, and T loops). Lineage: Bacteria; Pseudomonadati; Spirochaetota; Spirochaetia. The record is from RNAcentral.